RNAcentral lists this ribosomal RNA (375 nucleotides) under Triticum aestivum (bread wheat). RNAcentral describes it as "partial small subunit ribosomal RNA". Lineage: Eukaryota; Viridiplantae; Streptophyta; Magnoliopsida; Poales; Poaceae. The record is from RNAcentral.
AUGUUACAUCAAUCAGGGUCAGUAAUCAGUACUACUAAUUUCAGAGAAGACCUGUAUAGCAGUACUACUCCAUCGGCAAGCGUUCGGUGCUGGAUUUCUUUCAUGCCUAUGUGGUGUUGUGCCAUGGUCGCUCUCCCUCCUCCAGGGACUCAGCCAAGUCCGGCCUGGCCAUGCCUCCGUUCUCCCGCCAGCUGCGUGUUUGUGCUGUAUGUGCUUGACGCUGCAUGCUUGUUGGCUUGUCACUGGGUGCUUGUCGCUGCUGGCCUGCUGCAGCAGCCGCUGCUUUGCUGUAUAUAUUUGUAUAAUGCUUGCAUCUUGUAUGCAGCUAUGCUUUGUUUUAUACUAACAUUGUUGUUGCUGCUGCUGACCUGUUGA